Molecule: ribosomal RNA, 243 nt
Filed under: uncultured bacterium
Lineage: Bacteria
Description: partial 16S ribosomal RNA
Rfam family: Bacterial small subunit ribosomal RNA
Source: RNAcentral
GGGCAAGCGUUAUCCGGAAUUACUGGGUGUAAAGGGAGAGUAGGCGGCAAGGUAAGCGAUAUGUGAAAGCCUUAGGCUUAACCAAAGGAUGGCAUAACGAACUAUCUAGCUAGAGUACAGGAGAGGAAAGCGGAAUUCCUAGUGUAGCGGUGAAAUGCGUAGAUAUUAGGAAGAACACCAGUGGCGAAGGCGGCUUUCUGGACUGAAACUGACGCUGAGGCUCGAAAGCGUGGGGAGCGAACA